GUGCACCAGAUACGAGUCUGACAGUCUGUUGUGUCCCAGAUGGGGGUUCCUCUGUGGCUGCUCGGCUUCAAACGGUGCGAGAGCAACAUCAGCCAUGAGAUUUAAGCCCUUCAGUGGAAGCAACACUGAAGAGUUAUAACUCAGAGGCACAGAU
This is a non-coding RNA of Gambusia affinis (western mosquitofish), 154 nucleotides long. The record is from Ensembl. Lineage: Eukaryota; Metazoa; Chordata; Actinopteri; Cyprinodontiformes; Poeciliidae.